This 482-nucleotide ribosomal RNA is filed under the name uncultured bacterium. Its description in RNAcentral is "partial 16S ribosomal RNA". It matches the Rfam family "Bacterial small subunit ribosomal RNA", at positions 30 to 507 of the family's 1533-position model. The record is from RNAcentral.
AUUGAACGCUGGCGGCAUGCUUUACACAUGCAAGUCGAACGGUAACAGGCCGCAAGGUGCUGACGAGUGGCGAACGGGUGAGUAAUGCAUCGGAACGCGCCCAGUCGUGGGGGAUAACUACUCGAAAGAGUAGCUAAUACCGCAUACGAUCUAUGGAUGAAAGCGGGGGACCGUAAGGCCUCGCGCGAUUGGAGCGGCCGAUGUCAGAUUAGGUAGUUGGUGGGGUAAAGGCUCGCCAAGCCAACGAUCUGUAGCUGGUCUGAGAGGACGACCAGCCACACUGGGACUGAGACACGGCCCAGACUCCUACGGGAGGCAGCAGUGGGGAAUUUUGGACAAUGGGCGCAAGCCUGAUCCAGCAAUGCCGCGUGCAGGAAGAAGGCCUUCGGGUUGUAAACUGCUUUUGUACGGAACGAAACGGCUCUGGUUAAUACCCGGGGCUAAUGACGGUACCGUAAGAAUAAGCACCGGCUAACUACGUG